UGCCAACAUUGUUUGUUACCGUUACGACUGAAUUCAAUUAAAAACACCAUCUCCCACCAUUGAGGUAAGCCAACCAGCCACGUCCUCAUCUAAAUCAUCAGAAAACAGUUCGGUUUGCAUAAAAUCAAAUUCGGGUUUGUCUAUUUUUGGUGAUUUCUAUUUUAGGUCAGUAGAAAACAAGAGAGGGAUGCAUACCAUAGCUGGGAUUCACUGUUGAAGUUCGAUUCGACUUUCAUCAGCGCUGACUCUAUCAGAUUUAAUCAAAAUAAUGCAUCGAAUUGAGAAAACUUUAAAUCGAGGUCCAAUUCUACUCUUUCCUUCUUUUUAUCUUAUCGUUUAUUAUAUUUUGGUGUGUUGGAUUGAAUAUCAUGUAUUGCUUGAUCUUUGUUGAUAAUGUUGUGAUUUGCGUGUUUCGUGAUAAUUGAUGACAUAAUUUUGAUCACAUGUUUGAACAUCUAUGAUUGUCAUGGCUUUGAUUGGUUGUUUCUAUAUUGAAGUUGAUUAUUUGAUCGAAAAAUGAGAUUUGAGGGGCGGGAAUUAAAAACAUUGAUAAAAGUGAACAUUAGUUUAUGUUGAUUCAUUGAUAGUCGCUUGAUUUGGGAUAAGAAUAUACUUUGUUAAAUUCGAUAGUCUCGUGUGAUAGUUUAAUUCGGAUAGGCAAAUGUAGACUCGGGUAGGCAAAUUUCAAACUUUUGUUUUGUUGAAUGUGCUUGGGAAUAUUUCUUUCUAAUUUAUAGUAUUCUAUUCAAGUGUAUUCAGUUGGCCAGGGAAUGCCCCGAGGUUUCAUGUAUUUAUGUACCAGGGAAUGCCCCGAUGUAUUAUGUCUUCGAAGGAAGUUCGUGAUCAAGGCCCGAGUCAUCGGGUAAAGCAUUGGAGCUUAGUUCAGGUUUAGUUUAGAAUAGGUUUUAUAUUUUUUGCAUUUUUCUAUUUUGAACUGUAUAAUUGGACUGCACACUAUAUUUUGGAUUUAUUUUGUUUCAUGUGUUUGAUUGAUUGUUUUAUGUGUUUUUGUGUGGUUUAUACAUUUGUAAUGUCAAAUUAGCCGAUAUGCUCCACCAAGCGACAGUGGUUGAACCACGGGAUCGAGGGGUGCCUAACACCUUUCCCUCGGUCAACAGAAUUCCUUAGUCGAAAUCUCUAUUCGCAGAUCAGUUAUAGAGUCAAAAUCAUUUUGAAAAGGAUCUCCAAAGGUGACUUGGCACACUGGAUUAUGUCAAGUGGUGACUUUGAAUAAAAAAUGUAAACAAUCCUUUUUCGAAAUAAAUUUUCAAUCUUUUAUCACUUUGAUAAUAAAAAUCCUUUCGAACCUUAAAACCAAUUCUUUUGGCUUAAAAAAGAGGUGUGACACCACCAAUAUAUGAUUUUCUAGAGGAAGUUAGAUUGAUGUCUAGUAGAUGGAACUGUGAAAACAGACAGCAGGCAUUGUUUACUUUUACAAAUCUUAUUGGUAAGUUUCAAGAAAUUCUACAACAGAAUGAGGCGGAGAGUACAC
Molecule: long non-coding RNA, 1492 nt
Filed under: Capsicum annuum
Lineage: Eukaryota; Viridiplantae; Streptophyta; Magnoliopsida; Solanales; Solanaceae
Description: long non-coding RNA (CANN_LNC014667)
Source: RNAcentral